Molecule: long non-coding RNA, 378 nt
Organism: Limulus polyphemus (Atlantic horseshoe crab)
Lineage: Eukaryota; Metazoa; Arthropoda; Merostomata; Xiphosura; Limulidae
Exons: 3
Source: RefSeq, a predicted model, not a curated record
GUACUAAUGAUAAAAUAACACAAUAUCGUGUGUAUAUAGAAAUACUAAUGAUAAAAGAACACAAUAUCGUGUAUAGUAGAGGUACUAAUUAUAAAAGAACACAAUAUCGUGUAUAGUAGAGGUACUAAUGAUAAAAGAACACAUAUCGUGUGUGUAGUAGAGGUACUAAUGAUAAAAGAACACAAUAUGGUGUAUAGUAGAGGUACUAAUGAUAAAAGAACACAAUAUGGUGUAUAGUAGAGGUACUAAUGAUAAAAUAACACAAUAUGGUGUAUAGUAGAGGUACUAAUGAUAAAAGAACACAAUAUCGUGUAUAGUAGAGGUCUUACAGAAUGAAUAUGUUUUUCACUACUUGACAAAGAAAGACACAAGAAGAAG